GGCGGCGUGCCUAAUACAUGCAAGUCGAGCGAAGUUUUUCUGGUGCUUGCACUAGAAAAACUUAGCGGCGAACGGGUGAGUAACACGUAAAGAACCUGCCUCAUAGACUGGGACAACUAUUGGAAACGAUAGCUAAUACCGGAUAACAGUAUUUCUCGCAUGAGAGAUAUUUAAAAGUUGGUUAUGCUAACACUAUGAGAUGGCCUUGCGGUGCAUUAGCUAGUUGGUGGGGUAAAGGCCUACCAAGGCGACGAUGCAUAGCCGACCUGAGAGGGUGAUCGGCCACACUGGGACUGAGACACGGCCCAGACUCCUACGGGAGGCAGCAGUAGGGAAUCUUCCGCAAUGGGCGAAAGCCUGACGGAGCAACGCCGCGUGAGUGAAGAAGGAUUUCGGUUCGUAAAGCUCUGUUGUUAGGGAAGAAUGGAUAUGUAGUAACUAUACAUAUAAGAGACG
This 456-nucleotide ribosomal RNA is filed under the name Gemella morbillorum. RNAcentral describes it as "bacterial SSU rRNA". It matches the Rfam family "Bacterial small subunit ribosomal RNA", at positions 38 to 474 of the family's 1533-position model. Lineage: Bacteria; Bacillati; Bacillota; Bacilli; Caryophanales; Gemellaceae. The record is from RNAcentral.